RNAcentral lists this ribosomal RNA (800 nucleotides) under uncultured bacterium. RNAcentral describes it as "bacterial SSU rRNA". It matches the Rfam family "Bacterial small subunit ribosomal RNA", at positions 8 to 805 of the family's 1533-position model. The record is from RNAcentral.
AGAGUUUGAUCCUGGCUCAGGAUGAACGCUAGCGGCAGGCCUAACACAUGCAAGUCGAGGGGUAGAAGGAGCUUGCUCCUUUGAGACCGGCGCACGGGUGCGUAACGCGUAUGCAAUCUACCUUAUACAGGGGAAUAGCCCAGAGAAAUUUGGAUUAAUGCCCCAUGGUAUUAUAGAAUGGCAUCAUUUUAUAAUUAAAGUUCCAACGGUAUAAGAUGAGCAUGCGUCCCAUUAGUUAGUUGGUAAGGUAACGGCUUACCAAGACUAUGAUGGGUAGGGGUCCUGAGAGGGAGAUCCCCCACACUGGUACUGAGACACGGACCAGACUCCUACGGGAGGCAGCAGUGAGGAAUAUUGGUCAAUGGACGCAAGUCUGAACCAGCCAUGCCGCGUGCAGGAAGAAGCAUCUAUGGUGUGUAAACUGCUUUUAUACAGGAAGAAACAACGCUACGUGUAGCGUCUUGACGGUACUGUAAGAAUAAGGACCGGCUAACUCCGUGCCAGCAGCCGCGGUAAUACGGAGGGUCCAAGCGUUAUCCGGAAUCAUUGGGUUUAAAGGGUCCCGUAGGGCGGCCUUAUAAGUCAGUGGUGAAAUCUCCUAGCUCAACUAGGAAACUGCCAUUGAUACUGUAGGGCUUGAAUUUUUGUGAAGUAACUAGAAUAUGUAGUGUAGCGGUGAAAUGCUUAGAUAUUACAUGGAAUACCAAUUGCGAAGGCAGGUUACUAACAAACGAUUGACGCUGAUGGACGAAAGCGUGGGGAGCGAACAGGAUUAGAUACCCUGGUAGUCCACGCCGUAA